RNAcentral lists this small nucleolar RNA (120 nucleotides) under Carlito syrichta (Philippine tarsier). RNAcentral's name for it is "Small nucleolar RNA SNORA24 (ENSTSYG00000023668.2)". It matches the Rfam family "Small nucleolar RNA SNORA24". Rfam says of the family: ACA24 is a member of the H/ACA class of snoRNA that guide the sites of modification of uridines to pseudouridines. Lineage: Eukaryota; Metazoa; Chordata; Mammalia; Primates; Tarsiidae. The record is from Rfam by way of RNAcentral.
AUUUAGAAAUACAUGGAUGGGCAGUCUCCCUCCCUAGCCCUGGAAGAGCAUAUUCUUGUUUAUUGACAAAGCUGCCACCAUUUAAUUGGUAUCAGAUUCUGACUUGCACAAGUAACAUUC